Molecule: long non-coding RNA, 307 nt
Filed under: Neodiprion pinetum (white pine sawfly)
Lineage: Eukaryota; Metazoa; Arthropoda; Insecta; Hymenoptera; Diprionidae
Description: uncharacterized LOC124220955, transcript variant X1
Source: RNAcentral
UAGAAUGCUAUUUUUGCAGCUAGUCUGCAUUUUGAUUAUUUCGGUGACGUCGAAUUAUUAGGGACCGUAUCAUUCCUCGUCGGUCACAACGACCAUUAGUUUACCGGCGGGCUAUGUUCACUAUCCGACCGUAAGUUCAGCCUACAAAAUACAUCAGGAUGGACUCAGUUGGAGUAACGCAAAGGAUGCUUGCAUUGCCGAGGGAGGUCGCCUCCCCGUGAUUGACACGCAUGAAAAAGUUGGAAUCGUAAAUGGAAUCAGGGAUCCAAGCACCAACGUGUGGGUCGGUAUUGAGAAAAAGUAUGAC